UAAUCUGCAGGCUGCAAUCUGCCCGUGAAAGAACUCUUGCAACACAUUGUGUGAGGAUCCCAGGUAAACAGCCAAUGUGUGUGCCCAGAGCUGCACUUACGUCUGUCUUCUAGGGAAGCCUCCCUCCCCGCUGGCCUUCAGGCUGUGCCUCCACCCUGCCUCUGUCUUGUUCUCUUAGGCUGCCCUGUCCUUCCCUGGGAAUCAGGUCAAGAGCCCUGCUGGCAGGUGUCCUAGAGCAUGAAUCAGGCCCCUGGCAAGGAGAAGGCGGGAGAUCUUGGCUGAGAUCAGGUAGGAAGGUUUAUUGGAUGAUGUGUCUGGUCAAUAGCCAAUCUAUUAACCCCCCCUGAGAGAAUUAGGAACCUUCAUAUGAUGGGUCAUCUCUUUGUGGGAGAAGUUUAGAUAACUGGAAACCACAUUUUGGUCAAGAAUGACUCAGUUAAUUUUUCCAUGCCUUUAGUGAGGAUUUAAUUUUGCACGGGUAAGUGACUUCAGAGUGGUUGGUGAAAGCUGGCUGGCUGUCAUUUUGUCUGGCAGUGCAGAGUGGCAAUUUAUCCCUUUAGGUGGCCCAAGAUUUGGGUGGCUGGACUUUCCAAGGCAAUUUAAUUUAAUUUAUUUGUUUAUGCUGAGCCUUGGGUUAAUGCUUUCAAAUGGUUUAUUUCAGAGAUCUGAUAACCUGCGGACUGACUUUCUCCUUCUAGACUUGUGUUGAUUUGAUUCAACAGACCCUCAUGACUCAUGAAGCACCUAUAUGUACCAGUCAUUGUGAUAAAUCUGGGGAUUAGACAGGGGCAAAACUCAGUCCUUGUUGAGUUAGCUCAUGGUGCAAUACUGGACUCAGACAUAAACAAACACACAGAAAUGAUAGGUUUGUGUGGCAUGCUGAAGGCCCAGGUAAGAAGGAAUUCAUUCUGUUGGAUAAGGCGGGGACUCAAGGAGGCUUCCUGGAGGAAGCGAAAUCCUAGAUGAGUCUGAAAGGGUAAAUAGGAAUGAAUGCUCUCCAACUCUGAUGGAGUUGAUGAUCUCAGGGUUGGCCUCUUUUCAUACUGGUUUUGAGUAUAAAUGAUUAAUUUGUUUGUAAUAAUUAAUAAAAAGAAGAAGAAUGCAUUCACAAGCAUCACAAGUGAAUCCAUCCCUGACUUCUUAGUAAUUUCCCCUUUUACACCCUGCUAAUAUGAUCCCUGUUUUUUGCCCUUUAUGAAGUGGUCCACAGUGUGAAAAAUUUGAAAGGCCCCAAAGAAUGAAUAGUUCUUCAGUAAACGAAUUGGAACAGCAUAUUGGGCAUGGAGUCAAGAUGUUGACCUAUGUAAUUCUUUUGACUUUUUUAUUUUAAAAUUACUAUGAUUCCUUCAGGGCAAGCACUGCUUUAAUAAUUCAUCUUUCUGUCUUCAAAAGUCAGCCCAGUGACUGUCCCUUAUUCCACAGAUGUGGAACCAAUUCAGGAUUGUCCUUGUGAUUCUUUUUCCUAAGUGGAAUACUGAGCCUCCAGCUUGUGUGUCAUAUGUGUGGACUUUUCAGCAUAUUCUUCUCUGGCCCAGAAGUCUGGAUUCUUCUUGUCUGUUGCAAUAAUAUAAAGUUAUUCAGAGCUGUACAUGAAGAGAAGUCCCACAGGGACCCUGGGAUCAGAAGAACUCUGGGAAAUGCCUGGCCCAGCCAGUGCUGUUCUAAAGAUCCUCAUCCUCAUGGAGAUAACCAUUUUUAAGGAAGAAAAGAGGAUCUGGACCCUACCCAUCUCAGUCUCCAUCAGAUCUUAUGGAUGCUCCAGGAAUUGGCCAUGAUUCUCCUCUUUUCUACCAUCUUGUAUGUUGGGCUUUGUAGAGGAUAGAUGUUUUCUAGAAGAAUGGCAGAUAAGGCAAGGUCUGCAGCUUGCCAUUGAUAGUGUCUUUAUCAACAGAUCUGUGAGGAAUUGUGCAGCUGAGAGGGGAGAAGAGAAAUCAGAGAGUGGAUGGACUGCCACAGUUCAACAUAUACUGGUGCUUUCAAUAUAGAAUCCACAAGGCAACCUGCAUGCUGGGCUCUGUGCUAGGCACUAGGGGUAUAUCUAUGAGAUGCCACCCCAGCUCCCACAGUCUUACAAUCUAAUGGGGAAGAGAGAUAUGUCAAUAGACAAACGCAGCAGAUGGCAAGUGCUGGGAUAUGAAACAGUAAGCAGAAGCCACAGUGUUCUCUGGGACUUCUGAGCUGAGUCCCAAAGUAAUUAGAUUAAUCCGUCAUGGGAGGUGGAGUGGGUAGGGGGAGCUCCUGGAAGCAUGAUCAAAAGUGGAGAGCUAAGGUGAGGGAGAAGAAAGAAAUGAGAUUCAGCAAAGAGGAGGAGAGCAAUGAAGGGCCAUGUAUGACCAGGCGAAGGCAAAUUGUUCGGACCAAACAUGACAGUAGGGUGGGUUUUUGAGGGGUAUCCACUGCACUUACAGAGGCAAGAUUCUCUAUGGUGACCUUUCAGUGAGGGUGGGCAAAUACACUACUUUUUGAGUCAGCCAUUUUUCACUACUGAGCACCUCUGGCCUUAGCAAGUUCUGAGCAUGAAUACUUUCUUCUGUUUCUAAGCCAUUCAACAAAUAUCAAAGUGCUUUCCCAUGUAUUGGUCAUCUUAGGCAAACUGGGUGGACAUGUAGAGCAAGACGUAAUGAGGUAAGCACUCACUAGAGCUAGGUCAUCUUAGAAAAGUCACUUAGCUUCACUGAGCCUCAGUCUUCCUAUCUGUGAAAUGGGGAUAAUGACCCUUAUGUCACCUGGUGGGCAAGGUCUAAAUAAAAUCAUUGUAGUUAGAUCCAUAGUAGGUUCUUUCUGACCUACCACUGUGCACCUCACGCCGUUGCUAUUCCAGUGGGAUAUAUCCAGUGGGGUUACGGGUAUGACAUUUCGGAACCCCACCAUCACUUGUAUCAGCAGGUCUGUCCUAGGUUCCCCAACUAAGCUUCCUGGAUGAGGCACCUAGUGGCGUCCCCUAGUUUGAGUGUGGGGGGUUUGGUAAACUAGUCCUUAUGUAUGCUUGUCAGAUGGAGGGUACUGUCUUUAAGAUGGGCUCAUAGCUGAAUCUGGAAGGUAAGUGCUCCAGGCCAGUAUUGUUUUCUGCAGGAUUCAAAGUUCCCUUGCUAUUUCUGCUGACUUUGCUUCCCCUCUCGUGUUCUAUAUCCCAAACCUAUUAUCUUCACCAGCGUUAAUUUGCCUCCACAACUCUGUUUUUGCAUUUUGAAAUGGAAUUUCCCUUAACCUAUAUUCCUCUGGUUCCCAAACUCCACCUGCUUCAGUUUUUUUUUCAAUAUCAUCUACAUUUCCUUCACUAGAUUAUAGCCUUAGUCAUUUGUACCCUUAGAAUGAAUAUUUUUUUCUGUCAUAUCUUUGUUUGAACCUUUUCACAUUUGACUUCAGACAUUACCCAUCUCCUUCAUCUGACCACUUUCUUCACUUUUCUCAUCUUUCCAUUUUGGUUGUAUGUCUACUGAGCAAGGGGCUCUGUGCAGAGCAUUCAAAGAUGACUGAGAUGUAGUCUUGUGGGUAGAGAGAGACAAUUAGAAUGCACCGUGGAGAGUGUUAGGUUGAGGGAAGCGGAGAUUACAGGAGUCCAAAUGUCUUAUCCGAGGAUAUGGGAUAGGCUUGAGAGAAGAUGCUGAGCUCAUGUAGGUGAGGUAUUGUCCUACGUGAAGGAAAAGAGGCAGGAGAUGGCAGCUUGGAGGCUAUAUUACUUUCUCUGGGGCUGCCAUACCAAAGUACCACAAACUGGGUGGCUUAAAACAUCAAAAAUGUAUUUUCUCACAGUUCUAGAAGGUAGAAGCCCAAAAUCAAGAUGUUGGCCCUACAGCUGUGCUCCUUCUGAAGGCUUUGGGGUGAAUGUGUUUAAUGCCCUUUUCUUAGCUUCUGCCCUUUUCUUUUCUGGCCUUCACAGAAGGCCAAAGAGCAAUCCUUGGCCUUCCUUGGCUUGUGGAUGCAUCGUUUCAGUCUCUGCCUCUGUUUUCACAUGGCCCUCUUCCCUGUGUAUCUGUCUCUACGCUGCUUCUCAUCUUAUAAGGACACAAGUCAGAUUGGAAUAAAGCCUAUUCUAAUUCAGUAUAAUCACAUCUUAACUUGAUUAUGUAUGCAAAGACCAUAUUUCCAAAUAAGGUCACAUUUUCAGGUCCUCGGGGUUAGAGCUUUCACAUGUCUUUUUGGGGGACAUAGUUCAACUCAUAAUAGAAACCUCGCAGAUAAAUCAUUUUGGCCGGUGCACAGAGUUAAGUGGUGGAUUAUCAAGAAUAUGGAAUUUUAGAAUUUUAGCUUCUUGGUUGAUUUUUGGGAAUUAACAUACAGGAGAGCAGGUUUAGAAGUAACAAUAACACUUUGAGAGGCCGAGGUGGGCAGAUCAUGAGGUCAGGAGAUCGAGACCAUCCUGGCUAACAUGGUGAAACCCCGUCUCCACUAAAAAUACAAAAAUUAGCCGGGCAUGGUGGCAGGUGCCUGUAGUCCCAGCUACUCAGAAGGCUGAGGCAGCAGAAUGGCAUGAACCCGGGAGGCGGAGGUUGCAGUGAGCCGAGAUCGUGCCACUGCACUCCAGCUGGGGAGACAGAGUGAGACUCUGUCUCAUAAAAAAAAGAAGUGACAAUAACAAUAACAGAGGCUGGUCUUCUGGGAAUGAUGCGAUACUCUUCAGCCAGCCUUUCUGUUUUGAGCGAAGCCCCAACCUGGAGUUCAAAGAGAGUGAGGGCGCUUCCUGUCUUCUUGUCUUUCUCCUCUCUCCUGCUACUUGUUAUGAAAUUCAGAACAAUUAGAGAUUUUCUGUCUCAUCCCUGGAAUGGUGUUUCUCCUGCUGGCCCUAUCAGGCUGGUGUGUUGAUGUUAUCGGGGAGAGGCUGUAGUUACUAGGAUGAAGAAGGCAAGAGAGAAAUGGAAUUCACGCAGAUCAAACAUGUGUAAUCAGAAGACAUUACUGAGGCUUGAUGAUGCUGUUCAGGGUGUAUUUCCCUUGAAACGCUUCUUAAAAGACAGCAGCUUAAACAAAUGGGCAAGAUGAGAUUCACAGAGGUAACAUUUCAGAGAGAAUGUAGGUACAGCUAAGCAGAGCUAAGCAGUGACAGAAGGAGAAAGUGUGUCUGAAGAAAAAUCUUCAUUACAGAUUUGAAAGAAAAAAAACCCAUCAAAUCCCUCUGCCUUGUGGGUCUCACAGGAGGCAAACUUUCUUUACAAACUGUGUGUUUGUGUUUUGAGUGACUAAGAGUUCAGGGACAAGUUCAAACACACCUAAGUUCAAUUUAAAAGUAAAUGAGAUGACAUUGGAGGAAAUUUAUAAUAAAAUGUCACUCUUUACCUAACACCAUUUUCUCUGGAAUUCAAAAUAUCCAUUGUUUAAAAGUGACACAGUAACUACCAUCUAGUUUGCUGAAUGACCUUCUUUAUAGCGUCAUGGUAUUAGAAAUGGCUUCAGAAGGAAUCACUCAACUGCAUUUAUCUGGCAGGAGAAAAAUGCAGGUAGUAUUUAUUUUGGGGUGUGGUAGGGGAUGUCCCCUAGCAAGGAUCCUAGAAGUCAGUGUCAGGUAUGAGAACAAGAAACAUUCAUUUAUUGCAUGCAUACUCAUUGAGUCCCUACUAUGUAUUGGUAUUAUGUGGCAGUAUGAAUAUUCUCAUUUGUUAAAUAAAGAUACUUGAGUCUGC
This is a long non-coding RNA of Homo sapiens (human), 5618 nucleotides long. RefSeq lists it as uncharacterized. The record is from RefSeq and is a predicted model, not a curated record. NCBI's taxonomy places the organism in Eukaryota, Metazoa, Chordata, Mammalia, Primates, Hominidae. The transcript has 2 exons.